This 66-nucleotide transfer RNA is filed under the name Cheddikulama straminea. Its description in RNAcentral is "tRNA-Tyr". It matches the Rfam family "tRNA". From Rfam's summary of the family: Transfer RNA (tRNA) molecules are approximately 80 nucleotides in length. Their secondary structure includes four short double-helical elements and three loops (D, anti-codon, and T loops). Lineage: Eukaryota; Metazoa; Arthropoda; Insecta; Mantodea; Toxoderidae. The record is from RNAcentral.
GGUAAAAUGGCUGAGUUUAAGGUGAUAGUUUGUAAAACUAUUAAGGGGAUUAUUUCUCUUUUACCA